UUUCUCUAGAUCUAGAUCUGGAGCAAACAUCAAUGAAAUUGAAAACACGCAGUGAUGAACACCGAUUUGAAGAAACCCUAACUGAAGGUAACCAGCCGGAGCCGAUUUUGAUGUUUAUAACUGGCCUUAUAGGAUGUUCUUGGCUUUUAAAAUCGAUAAACAAAUCGAAGCUAUUAGGAUGUUCUGUUUGAUUCUGUCCAAGCUGUUGAUUUCAAAACAUAAUGUAUGAUGUUUUUCCCUAAUUUUAUCCCCAAAUUUGUUAUGAUGGCUGUUCUUUCACUUCUGUUGCUUCAAUCGCGGCUUCUCCUUCAUUCCAGAAGUUUUAUGAGCAUUUGUCAAGCAAGGCGCGAAUAAGGCUCAGGAGUCCUUUACAAUCUGCAUACAAUGAAGAUUUUGGCGAUCUAGGGCUUAAACAAGCUUUUUUGAUUUUGGUAAGAACUGAUACUUGUUUUUAUUUGUUUUCCCUUUUUUUGAUUUUUGCAGAAGUUUUAUGAGCAUUUGUCAAGCAAGGCGCGAAUAAGGCCCAGGAGUCCUUUACAAUCUGCAUACAAUGAAGACCUUGGCCAACGGCUACAGGCAAAGCUUCUAGCUGCUGAACAGAAAAGGUUGGAUGUUAUCGGACCAGACUGGUAGAGUAAAGAGCUUUAAACUAAGGGCUGGUCGAAUUUGUGUGCAUGUUGGCAUGCUUUUAGCAACCUGUGGAGAGGAUUUAGGACUGUGUUGGCUUCUUCGGGUCUUGGUGAAAGCUUGGUCAACACGAAGAGCGCGGCGGGUCAAAUAAGGGUCAACCGAGUCAAGUCAGAUAUGGGAAGGUGUGGUAGAAGCUCUUAAAUGGCCUCUUGAUCACCCGUUAACAAUCAAGAUGCUUCUUUUUGCUAUGUCGGUGAAUUGCCUUGACCCAGCUACCAGCUUUGAUUUUAGCUUGUGCAAAGGACUCUAGAGAGCCUUUCGUCAACCCAAUGUCAUCUGAUGGUAAAACGAAAGCGAAUGAUGCUAAAUCUCAGCUACUGGCAUCAUUAUAUGGCGGCCAUGGUGAUCAAUUGGCAACAAUAGCAGCUUUUGAGUGAUGGAAAAACACCAAACAAAUAGCUGAUGAUAGCAAUUGGCAUGUAUGUAAUCUGUUGUAAGUUUAGUUUAUAUACUUAUUCCCUGGCGGACACUAGCUCUUAUUGGGCAAGAAAAGGAGAGAUACAAUUUGUAUUGCACUUGCUGAUGACACCUGUGAAGAACCAAAGAUUAGGAUGAGUAGGGUUGUCAGGUCAAUUUUGAGGGUUAGACUUGGCGAUGUGGUUUCGUUGCAUCAGUAUGGGAAGCGCGUUCACAUCCUUCCGAUUGACGAUACGAUUGAAGGAGUUGCUGGGAAUCUCGUACUUUUUGGAAGCGUACCGCCCGGUGGGUGACUACUUUUUGGUAAGGGGAGAGAUCAUGUCGAAAAUGGCUGGGGGUACUCCAAGAACCGUUGGAUCAAAAAAAGAUAGUGCAGGUUCGACCAUUAACGAACCACCAGCUUGCUUUGGCUGGACGAAGUUAAAGUUAGGAACCCCGACAUAGCUCAGGGUAAAGUUCUCUGGCCAACAGCUUCCCCUGGUUAAUCACGGCUAGCCACGUUGCACUCUCCUUUGCAGUAAUCUUAUCCUGUAAACACAAGAUGGUUGACGACAUAAAGAAGACGCCGUACUGGUGAAUAAACAACUGGGUGGCAUUAGAAGAAUGGAGUAAAUUUGGUGACACAAAUCUUGGUAUGUAAUGUUCUACUUGUCUAUUUAGUUUUGUUUUUCGGUUGGAUGUUAAGUAGCAUUGGCUCGACCAGUUUGGAGCCAAGCAAAAAGUUAUUUUGACAAGUUUUAUUUCAAGUAUACAUAUAUUUUUUAAAAAUAUUAGUACAUUUUUGGGGACUUUUAAUCCACAUGACCUGUUAUGUUUCAAGUAAUUUUUUUUUUAUAUUUUUGUUUUGAUCCAUCAUGAAUACACCAUAACCCUAAUCAACCCAUUAGUAAGUAAAUGGGACAACAUUUUCACCUAACAUGUUAUCUACAUGAGUGAAACUAACACGUGUGUUUUCAGUAAUUUUUAUAGCAAUAAGAUUUAUGGGACUCUUAAUGUUCUACAAUCGCGUGACCUGUGAGCUUCUUAUUCACGUUGUAUAUAAAUGUUCAUUACUCCAUGAUCUAAAGGAAUCGUUGAUAAUUCGGUGUUUUAUUUUAUGGCGAACUUGGAAGAAAACAUUGCUUGAUUACUCAUUAUCAGCCUUGAGGUGUUUUCCAGAUGUGCAAGAAGCCUGCUUUAAAGCCCCAAGGCGUUUUUCCAAUCGCCUCACGGCUCACGCCUUAGGCGCGGUUUCUAAAACAAAGGUUUAAAUUGUUGAUGACUGGUGACGUGCCGGCCUUUUACUAAUUGUUUUGUUUUUU
This is a long non-coding RNA of Helianthus annuus (common sunflower), 2408 nucleotides long. RefSeq lists it as uncharacterized. The transcript has 9 exons. NCBI's taxonomy places the organism in Eukaryota, Viridiplantae, Streptophyta, Magnoliopsida, Asterales, Asteraceae. The record is from RefSeq and is a predicted model, not a curated record.